CCUACGGGACGCAGCAGUGGGGAAUAUUGGGCAAUGGGCGCAAGCCUGACCCAGCAACGCCGCGUGAAGGAAGAAGGCUUUCGGGUUGUAAACUUCUUUUAUGAGGGACGAAACAAAUGACGGUACCUCAUGAAUAAGCCACGGCUAACUACGUGCCAGCAGCCGCGGUAAUACGUAGGUGGCAAGCGUUAUCCGGAUUUACUGGGUGUAGAGGGCGUGUAGGCGGGACUGCAAGUCAGAUGUGAAAAUUAUGGGCUCAACCCAUAACCUGCAUUUGAAACUGUAGUUCUUGAGUGAUGUAGAGG
Molecule: ribosomal RNA, 305 nt
Filed under: uncultured bacterium
Lineage: Bacteria
Description: bacterial SSU rRNA
Rfam family: Bacterial small subunit ribosomal RNA
Source: RNAcentral